UACGUAGGUGGCAAGCGUUAUCCGGAAUUAUUGGGCGUAAAGAGCGCGCAGGUGGUUGAUUAAGUCUGAUGUGGAAGCCCACGGCUUAACCGUGGAGGGUCAUUGGAAACUGGUCGACUUGAGUGCAGAAGAGGGAAGUGGAAUUCCAUGUGUAGCGGUGAAAUGCGUAGAGAUAUGGAGGAACACCAGUGGAGAAGGCGGCUUCCUGGUCUGUAACUGACACUGAGGCGCGAAAGCGUGGGGAGCAAACAGGAUUAGAUACCCCU
Molecule: ribosomal RNA, 266 nt
Filed under: uncultured prokaryote
Description: partial 16S ribosomal RNA
Rfam family: Bacterial small subunit ribosomal RNA
Source: RNAcentral